Molecule: ribosomal RNA, 253 nt
Filed under: uncultured bacterium
Lineage: Bacteria
Description: partial 16S ribosomal RNA
Rfam family: Bacterial small subunit ribosomal RNA
Source: RNAcentral
UACAGAGGGGGCAAGCGUUGUUCGGAAUUACUGGGCGUAAAGGGCGCGUAGGCGGCCUUCUAAGUCGAACGUGAAAUCCCCGGGCUCAACCCGGGAACUGCGUCCGAGACUGAAAGGCCUGAAUCCGGGAGAGGGAUGUGGAAUUCCAGGUGUAGCGGUGAAAUGCGUAGAUAUCUGGAGGAACAUCGGUGGCGAAGGCGGCAUCCUGGACCGGUAUUGACGCUGAGGCGCGAAAGCCAGGGGAGCAAACGGG